Molecule: long non-coding RNA, 230 nt
Filed under: Sinocyclocheilus anshuiensis
Lineage: Eukaryota; Metazoa; Chordata; Actinopteri; Cypriniformes; Cyprinidae
Description: lncRNA (ENSSANG00000031772.1)
Source: RNAcentral
CUUCACUGAAACUCACACACAGAAGAGCGUUUGUACGAUUGGUUUGGAACAAUCUGUCUGUCUGAGUGCAGCAUGAAGAAUAAUUGAUCGAGAUCUGUUUUUGACAGGUGAUCAUUCCAGUCUGAGGAAUCAUCCGUUCAUUCUGUUCAGGGAAUCCCAAUGUGUCAGCGGGAAUGAGGGGUCACGACCUUCAUGCAGAGGCUGACGUCAUGCUUCAUUUAGAGGGCGAG